Molecule: transfer RNA, 84 nt
Filed under: bacterium
Lineage: Bacteria
Description: tRNA-Tyr
Rfam family: tRNA
About the family: Transfer RNA (tRNA) molecules are approximately 80 nucleotides in length.
Source: RNAcentral
GGGCAGAUGGCAGAGCGGUCAAAUGCACGAGACUGUAAAUCUCGCGUCCACUGGACUACGCAGGUUCGAAUCCUGCUCUGCCCA